AACGAACGCUGGCGGCAGGCCUAACACAUGCAAGUCGAGCGAGGACUUCGGUUCUAGCGGCGGACGGGUGAGUAACGCGUGGGAAUGUGCCCUUCUCUACGGAAUAGCCCUGGGAAACUGGGAGUAAUACCGUAUACGCCCUUUUGGGGAAAGAUUUAUCGGAGAAGGAUCAGCCCGCGUUGGAUUAGGUAGUUGGUGGGGUAAUGGCCUACCAAGCCGACGAUCCAUAGCUGGUUUGAGAGGAUGACCAGCCACACUGGGACUGAGACACGGCCCAGACUGCUACGGGAGGCAGCAGUGGGGAAUCUUAGACAAUGGGGGCAAACCUGAUCUAGCCGUGCCGCGUGAGUGAUGAAGGCCUUAGGGUUGUAAAGCUCUUUCAGCUGGGAAGAUAAUGACGGUACCAGCAGAAGAAGCCCCGGCUAACUCCGUG
This 433-nucleotide ribosomal RNA is filed under the name uncultured bacterium. RNAcentral's name for it is "partial 16S ribosomal RNA". It matches the Rfam family "Bacterial small subunit ribosomal RNA", at positions 29 to 507 of the family's 1533-position model. The record is from RNAcentral.